Molecule: long non-coding RNA, 2319 nt
Organism: Aethalodelphis obliquidens (Pacific white-sided dolphin)
Lineage: Eukaryota; Metazoa; Chordata; Mammalia; Artiodactyla; Delphinidae
Exons: 2
Source: RefSeq, a predicted model, not a curated record
UUUAUGCACAAAAGUUUUAAAUUUUGAUGAAGUCCAAUUUAGCUAUUUUUCUUUUGUUGCUUGUGCUUUGGUGUCAUAGCUAAGAAUCCAUUGCUAAAUCCAAGGUUAUAAAGAUUUACCCCUGACAUUUCCUUGUGUUUUUAUUAUUUUGAUUAUACUGAAGACAUUUUAUGGAUUAGUGUCCAAAGCACUUAAUGUUUUUUUGUAGGCCCCCAGUUUGUUGGGGGGUGCUCAAAGCAUUUAGGACUGUUUAUAGCUCUGGCUUAUUAGCCCCCAGUUUGUUGGUGGGGGGGGCUCAUGGGUUACAUUUUCUUUUUAUGUCCUCAGUUAUUUUAUUAUAUUUCCCCCUUUUUGUUUUGUAAUUUUUGUAGUAUCAAGGAGAACGUGGCAGCAUUACUCCCAGUGUUAAACUACGUGGAAUUAUUUUGUAGUUUGUGUAGUAUUAAGGAAAACACAGUAGUUUGUUGUAAUGUUGUGUGACGGGUAGUUUUUAUUUGUCGUUGGACUAUAAUUAAAUAUAUGAUUAUUAUUAUAAUGAGUAUUAGUAAUUUUGUAGUAGAACCAAAUAAAACAUGUAAUUUAGACAUGGGAUUUAGAUUAUUAAGUUUUUGAAUAAUUUUAGUUCAUACUUUUUGUGAAUUAAGUCGUAAUUUUUUUUUAAAAGUUUGUUGAAUUUUUUCUUGUAAAUUUACGAUUUUUUUUGUUAAAUUUUUGUGAUGUAAUAAAUGGUUUUUUAUUUUUGUCCAGGGGAAUGUAGACUGAUUAUAUGGAACCGAAGUGACACAUAAGGCACUUUGAUUCUAGUUAUAACGUAGCUUUAUUUGUCUUUGUAAAUUUACAAGUUGAUCCCCCAACAUAACCAUAGCUUGGUGUAAGUCUGUUAUUUUUGAAUGUAUUUUUGAAUCAAUUUGUCGUUGAGAAGACCAAAGUAUUUUAGAAUUUUUAUUUCAAUCAGUUAUAUAAUUAAUGGUCUGAAUAGAUUGUUUUAAAGCAACUCCAGCUACUGUAGCAGUAGCUGUUAUGGCUAUAAUACCCAUGACAGCUGUAAUCAACAUUUUUAUAAAUCUUUUACCUUUUUUUAAUGUAUCAGCUAAAUACUGUAAAACAGCCAUAGGAAGAGAUUUUUAUCAUUCCCUUCUAAGAUUGACAGGAAGCCAAAGACCUGUCCGAGCUCGUAAGAUAUACAAACUUUUAGUAGAUUUGUUAAAAGAUAUACUAGAGUUAAUGUAGGUAUACAGAGAGUAAUUUUUACAUAUUAUAAUAUCUUGAGUCUCAUUUUAUAUAGUUGGUUCUUUUAACAAUAUAUAAGGUAAUUUUACAUAACUAUGAGUAUAUCGAGUAACAUUUUUAUGAAAAGUCAAACUAUAAUUUUUAGAUUUGUUAUCCAUAUGUUUUACCCAAGUAUUAAUCUUUUUUAAAGCUGUCAUAAGCUUUUAUAGAUUUUUUUGGAUAGGAUAUCCAUUUAAAUGAGGACCAGGAGGAGAAAACCCUCCUGCGUGUCAUACUAUGGUAUCAUUAAUAGUAUUGUUAUAAAUAGUGUUAUCAUCUCUAUGUCAGUGUAAAUUUUUUAGACCCCUUUUUUUUUGGGCGGAGCCAAAAGGGCUUUAAUCAAUGACGGUUUUCUAAGAAGUAUUAACAAGAACCCGAGCCAUUUCUCCUUGGCAUCGAGUCCAAUGGACCCAAUCCGAUAAUCGAUCUACAAGAGGCAUCUGGCAUGGAGGCAAGUAAGGUGUGGAAACAUUUUUAUUAAGAGUGGAAUUAGAACUUUUAAAACUAAGCAUUUAAAAGAUAUAACCCAUGAUAUCUACUUUUAUUUUUGACAACAUUUAACCAUGCUUGAUAAUUUAUUUUAAGGUAAUGAUCUCCCUUUUCCAUAUAAAUAGGAGAUUUAUUAACACCCACCAUGUAAUUUAUUAUUAUUAUUAUUAUUAUUAUUAUUGGCUUUAAAGGGCCUCUAUCAUUAAAAGGACCAGGCAACCAUCCACACUCAUUUACAUAUACAAGAAUUGGGGCAUCCCAUCAGGUACCCCCCAUAUUAAGAGGAGGGUUAGGAAUAUAAGUCCAAUAAGUAUGGUUAGUACAAUUUAUCUCAUUGGCUGAUAUGUUUGUUACCUGUGCAGACAGCAUUGUCAACAUGGCUACAAAAAGAUUGGUGUUAGUGAGAGGUUUACCCUGUGAAAUGACAAGAUUUUUGGCAGUGUCUGUAAACUUUUUUAUUUGCCCCCAGGUCAAUGGAGGUGUCUUCUUCUUUUCACCAAGUAACAGUCUUGGCAAGCGCCUCCCAAUCUUGAGGAAUUAAUAUGUUUUUGGAAGCAUACC